This 253-nucleotide ribosomal RNA is filed under the name uncultured bacterium. Its description in RNAcentral is "partial 16S ribosomal RNA". It matches the Rfam family "Bacterial small subunit ribosomal RNA", at positions 524 to 776 of the family's 1533-position model. The record is from RNAcentral.
UACGUAGGGGGCUAGCGUUGUCCGGAAUCAUUGGGCGUAAAGAGUUCGUAGGCGGUUUGUCGCGUCGUUCGUGAAAACUUGGGGCUUAACUCCAAGCGUGCGGGCGAUACGGGCAGACUUGAGUACUACAGGGGAGACUGGAAUUCCUGGUGUAGCGGUGAAAUGCGCAGAUAUCAGGAGGAACACCGGUGGCGAAGGCGGGUCUCUGGGUAGUAACUGACGCUGAGGAACGAAAGCGUGGGUAGCGAACAGG